GAUUUCUGGUACGGUGCGCGUGGCCCGCCAUCGAAAGGUGUGCGAGUGUCGCUUGUGCGUCUACCAUCUCUUGUAGCUAGGGUGUCUCUCUCCAGGGGCAUCUGAACUACAUCGUUUACUUUGAAGAAAUUAGAGUGUUCAAAGCGGGCUUGCGCAUGAAUAUAUUAGCAUGGAAUAAUAAUUUAGGACUUUGAUCCUAUUUUGUUGGUUAUAAGGAUUAAAGUAAUGAUUGAUAGGGAUAGUUGGGGGUGCUAGUAUUCACCGGCCAGAGGUGAAAUUCUUGGAUUCGGUGAAGACUAACUUAUGCGAAAGCAUU
This 316-nucleotide ribosomal RNA is filed under the name uncultured Limnofilidae. RNAcentral describes it as "bacterial SSU rRNA". The stretch from base 99 to 316 matches the Rfam family "Eukaryotic small subunit ribosomal RNA", at positions 735 to 955 of the family's 1831-position model. Lineage: Eukaryota; Cercozoa; Limnofilidae. The record is from RNAcentral.